Molecule: ribosomal RNA, 450 nt
Filed under: uncultured bacterium
Lineage: Bacteria
Description: partial 16S ribosomal RNA
Rfam family: Bacterial small subunit ribosomal RNA
Source: RNAcentral
GUGGGGAAUAUUGGACAAUGGGCGAAAGCCUGAUCCAGCCAUGCCGCGUGUGUGAAGAAGGUCUUCGGAUUGUAAAGCACUUUAAGUUGGGAGGAAGGGCAGUAAGUUAAUACCUUGCUGUUUUGACGUUACCGACAGAAUAAGCACCGGCUAACUUCGUGCCAGCAGCCGCGGUAAUACGAAGGGUGCAAGCGUUAAUCGGAAUUACUGGGCGUAAAGCGCGCGUAGGUGGUUUUGUAAGUUGGAGGUGAAAUCCCCGGGCUCAACCUGGGAACUGCCUCCAAAACUGCAUGACUAGAGUAAGGUAGAGGGUAGUGGAAUUUCCUGUGUAGCGGUGAAAUGCGUAGAUAUAGGAAGGAACACCAGUGGCGAAGGCGACUACCUGGACUGAUACUGACACUGAGGUGCGAAAGCGUGGGGAGCAAACAGGAUUAGAUACCCCGGUAGUCC